GACGAACGCUGGCGGCGUGCUUAACACAUGCAAGUCGAACGGAAAGGCCCUGCUUUUGUGGGGUGCUCGAGUGGCGAACGGGUGAGUAACACGUGAGUAACCUGCCCUUGACUUUGGGAUAACUUCAGGAAACUGGGGCUAAUACCGGAUAGGAGCUCCUGCUGCAUGGUGGGGGUUGGAAAGUUUCGGCGGUUGGGGAUGGACUCGCGGCUUAUCAGCUUGUUGGUGGGGUAGUGGCUUACCAAGGCUUUGACGGGUAGCCGGCCUGAGAGGGUGACCGGCCACAUUGGGACUGAGAUACGGCCCAGACUCCUACGGGAGGCAGCAGUGGAGAAUAUUGCACAAUGGGCGGAAGCCUGAUGCAGCAACGCCGCGUGCGGGAUGACGGCCUUCGGGUUGUAAACCGCUUUCGCCUGUGACGAAGCGUGAGUGACGGUAAGGGGUAAAGAAGCACCGGCUAACUACG
This 466-nucleotide ribosomal RNA is filed under the name uncultured bacterium. RNAcentral describes it as "partial 16S ribosomal RNA". It matches the Rfam family "Bacterial small subunit ribosomal RNA", at positions 28 to 505 of the family's 1533-position model. The record is from RNAcentral.